This 509-nucleotide ribosomal RNA is filed under the name Alcaligenes sp. HPC 1215. RNAcentral's name for it is "partial 16S ribosomal RNA". The record is from RNAcentral. Lineage: Bacteria; Pseudomonadati; Pseudomonadota; Betaproteobacteria; Burkholderiales; Alcaligenaceae.
AUGACCUACCCGAAAGGUUUAAACGGGGCUCAAAAAGUUGCCAGAGGGGUACGGAAGAUUUAUAAAUCGGACCGGGCCCGGGGGAUAGGGAUAACUACUCGAAACUGUGGCUACUUCCGCAUACCCCCUACGGGGGAGAGGGGGUGAUCCCUUGACCUCUCACUAUUGGCUCGGCCGAUUUCGCAUUUUGGUGAGGGUGGGGUUAACGAUCACCACGGUCCGUAUCUGUAGCUGGAUUGAGAGGACGACCACUCGACUGAAACACAGUCAAGACUCCUACUCCUGGCAGCAGUGGGGAAUAUGAAUUUUGGGGAAUGGGCCUGAUCCAGACACGCCCCUUGUGUUAGUAGGAGUGCGCCUUGUAAUGGAAUUUAACUUUUGGGAGAGGCAGAGGUAUCCCCCCUGCGGGAUGCUGCUGACGGCAUCUUAAGAACCGGCUCAGUUAAGUCCUGCCCGCGCCAUGGUAAUGCGGCAGGGCGCUAACCUUAAUUGAGUUCUUAGCCUAACCC